RNAcentral lists this ribosomal RNA (328 nucleotides) under uncultured eukaryote. RNAcentral's name for it is "partial 18S ribosomal RNA". It matches the Rfam family "Eukaryotic small subunit ribosomal RNA", at positions 1470 to 1796 of the family's 1831-position model. The record is from RNAcentral.
CCCUUAGAUGUCCGGGGCUGCACGCGCGCUACACUGAAGGAAUCAGCGUGCUAAAACCAUUGUCGAAAGGCAUUGGUAAACCCAUUAAAAUCCUACGUGAUUGGGAUCGGGAAUUGCAAUUAUUUCCCUUGAACGAGGAAUUCCCAGUAAGUGUGGGUCAUAAGCUCGCGUUGAUUACGUCCCUGCCCUUUGUACACACCGCCCGUCGCUGCCCGGUACUGAGCCGUUUCGAGAAAAGCGGGGACUGCUGCUGUCGGGGCUUUCGGGCCUUGGCUUCGGUGGAAACCGCUUUAAUCGCAGUGGCUUGAACCGGGCAAAAGUCGUAACA